UUCUGAUACAGUGCUUUUGUGUUCCAGAGAGGAGACUGGACGCUGCGAGGCCCAGGCCAGUGUUCUCAGUGGAAGCGAGCAGGGAGGAUCUGGCAGCAGAAGCUUAGCAACGAGGAAGACCCUCUUUCCAGAUGUCCUAGCUCCCCUUCCUCAGUACUUUUUAAAAUAGAAGUUCCAGUAGAAGGUACACAGUGCACGGAGCAGCACCAUGAGAAUGAAGCGCCCUGCUCUUCACUUAUCCAUGGUUUCAGUCAUCCGUGGUCAACUGUGGUUCUGAGACAGAUGGUCCUCCUUCCAACAGAUCCACAGAAGCUCAGCAGUAGCCUAACACUACGUCACCAGGCAUGUCAGUCAUCUCACAUCAUCACAAGGAGGCAAUAAGCCAGAAAUAUAGGAAACCACCACCAGGUUCCAGUGGGAGUUGGAUGUCAAACCCACAAAGCUGAACUUCAAAGUGUUUUAACAGAUUAAAAAAACAGAAGACCACAGAAACCACAUGGACCACAGAAGGAAAAGAAGCUUGCUUACAAGGUCAGUUCAAAGUAUAGUCCAGUGAAUGACCUGUAUCUGGAUUAGAACUAACUG
Mustela putorius furo (domestic ferret) is the source of this 585-nucleotide long non-coding RNA. Lineage: Eukaryota; Metazoa; Chordata; Mammalia; Carnivora; Mustelidae. The record is from Ensembl.